Molecule: ribosomal RNA, 336 nt
Filed under: Triticum aestivum (bread wheat)
Lineage: Eukaryota; Viridiplantae; Streptophyta; Magnoliopsida; Poales; Poaceae
Description: partial small subunit ribosomal RNA
Source: RNAcentral
AUGAUGGCGGUGACCACGGCCCAGCUGCCGCAACCGCGCGCCCUGGCGGCCCUCCUCGUCCUGGUGCUGAUCACGCUGGGCGGCGCGGCCGAGGCACAGCCGCCGCUCGGCACCUGCGGCGCGCAGCUGAGCCAGCUGGCCCCGUGCGCGCGCUACAGCGUGCCGCCGCUGCCGGGGCAGGCGCUCCCGGCGCCCGGGCCGGAGUGCUGCUCCGCGCUGGGGUCCGUGUCCCGCGACUGCGCCUGCGGCGCCAUCGACAUCAUCAACAGCCUCCCCGCCAAGUGCGGCCUCCCGCGCGUCUCCUGCCGUAAGACUCCCUCCAACACUCCACGCUGA